Molecule: ribosomal RNA, 465 nt
Filed under: uncultured bacterium
Lineage: Bacteria
Description: partial 16S ribosomal RNA
Rfam family: Bacterial small subunit ribosomal RNA
Source: RNAcentral
GACGAACGCUGGCGGCGUGCUUAACACAUGCAAGUCGAACGGAAAGGCCCUGCUUGCAGGGUACUCGAGUGGCGAACGGGUGAGUAACACGUGGGUGAUCUGCCCUGCACUUCGGGAUAAGCCUGGGAAACUGGGUCUAAUACCGGAUAGGAGCCAUUUUUAGUGUGAUGGUUGGAAAGUUUUUUCGGUGUAGGAUGAGCUCGCGGCCUAUCAGCUUGUUGGUGGGGUAAUGGCCUACCAAGGCGGCGACGGGUAGCCGGCCUGAGAGGGUGGACGGCCACAUUGGGACUGAGAUACGGCCCAGACUCCUACGGGAGGCAGCAGUGGGGAAGAUUGCACAAGGGGCGCAAGCCUGAUGCAGCGACGCCGCGUGGGGGAUGACGGCAUUCGGGUUGUAAACUCCUUUCGCUAGGGACGAAGCUUUUUGUGACGGUACCUAGAUAAGAAGCACCGGCUAACUACGUG